Molecule: ribosomal RNA, 381 nt
Filed under: uncultured eukaryote
Lineage: Eukaryota
Description: partial 18S ribosomal RNA
Rfam family: Eukaryotic small subunit ribosomal RNA
Source: RNAcentral
CAAUAGCGUAUAUUAAAGUUGUUGCGGUAAAAAAGCUCGUAGUUGGAUUUCUACCGAAGAUAGCCGGUCGGGUCUUCGACCUUGUAUCUGGUUUUGUCUUUGGUAUCCCCAUAGGGAACGUUUCUGCGCUUUAUUGCGUGGUGCGGUAUCUAUGACUUUUACUUUGAGGAAAUUAGAGUGUUCACGGCAGGCAAACGCCUUGAAUAUAUUAGCAUGGAAUAAUAACAUAGGAUCUUCGUCCUAUUUUGUUGGUUUCUAGGGCUAAGAUAAUGAUUAAUAGGGAUAAUUGGGGGCAUCUGUAUCAACGCGUCAGAGGUGGAAUUCUUGGAUUGCGUUGCGACAAACUACUGCGAAAGCAUUUGCCAAGGAUGUUUUCAUUGA